This is a long non-coding RNA of Dermochelys coriacea (leatherback sea turtle), 449 nucleotides long. RefSeq lists it as uncharacterized. The transcript has 3 exons. The record is from RefSeq and is a predicted model, not a curated record. Lineage: Eukaryota; Metazoa; Chordata; Testudines; Dermochelyidae.
GUGCAGCUGAAGGACUGGGUAAUGAAGACACCCUCAAAUCACUGGAAAGGGAGCCCUGAAAAAUAUGAUAUCCACAUAUCAGAGAAAUGCCAUGCAGUUAGGCAUGACUGGCAGUCCUCUGCUCAAGAAAGACCCAAGACUGAAGUAUCAGGGAUGUUGCAGACAGUGCAGCUCAGGGAAUAAUCUUCAGAUGACCUUGUCAAGAUAUAUCCAAGAACUGUGGCUUUAAUUAUUUUUGAAAACAUGAAUGCUCCAUGACAAUGGUUAUGAGAUCCCUGGAAUAUCUCUUAUGAAGUUCACAUUUUAAAUAGUCCUUGGGUAUGAAAUUUUAAAACUUACACAUCUAUGUAUUGAACUGUGAUUUCUUAAAAUAGAAAACUGGCAUUUUGUAUAUUGUUUCAGGUUACCAAAGGCUUCAUAAAUAAAAGGACUAAGAAUCAAUACCAAUG